Molecule: long non-coding RNA, 513 nt
Filed under: Homo sapiens (human)
Lineage: Eukaryota; Metazoa; Chordata; Mammalia; Primates; Hominidae
Description: HSALNT0329565
Source: RNAcentral
CGGGCCCGGCCGAGCGGCAGCCCCUGCCCUGGAGGGUGGUCUCCAGGGACCAAGGCGUGGCGGGCGGUGCGGAGAGGCGCGGCACAGAUGGCUACAUCAGAGGUUACUUGGGUGAGUUGGCUCCCCAGGCUUUUGAGAUACCUGCCUUUUGUCCAGCACUGCAUCGUCCUCGCAUAUCCAAGGCUGUGUCUCCCUUCAGCAUCACCACUCGGCUUUUAGCAGACUGAAGCCAUGGUUUUUAGUUUUGUCUCUAGUGAUGAGCAGAAAAGAGGGAUGAGGAAGAGGCUUUACUGGUCCAACCAGAAAGAGAAGCUAAGAACCCAUGACUGGAUUCUCUCCCUUGGACACCCCACAGACCAAUAUCUCACCUUCCAGGAGAAGACCCUUCCAGCUCUUGCUUCUUUAAACCUAUUAACUUAGUUUUCUUUAGCUAGACUCCCAAACAUCAGCUUUUACAAUUCAGCCUAUGGUUCAAUCACUAUGGCAAGAUAAACAUUUGUUUAGGUGUGAAAC